UUGUGCUAUUUGUACUCCAAGUCAAAAGACAAAAAAUUUAAAAAAAAAAAACAAACAAACUUGUUUAGAGUGUCAUUAACAUGCAAUAUUGGGUCCAAAGUGUUUGGGGGUGAGGAGGAUGAAUCAAAUGACCCAUAGCAAGAUUAAAAUUGCUUUGAGGAAGUCUAUAGUUUAUAUUAAAAAUUAAUGCGAAUUUUGUUCAUCAAUACAUUGGUAUGUGUUUUAAUAUAAAAAUAUUUUUGAACUUAGAAAAGUUUACUUGGCAUUGAGUGAACACUGCUUGUCUAGGAAGCUAUGUCAUACUCAUUUGUCCCUUGCACACUGCUAAAAAUCUUUGAGAUAAAUCAAUGUCUUUUAGGCUAGACCAAAUAAAAACAAAAGCUUACUAAAACUGUCUACUUCUAACUAUUUUAAGUUCAAACUUAUAAAAUAUUAUGAGGUCAUCAUACAAGAUGACUGGUCAACUUCAUUUUUAAAAUCAAAAUGGCUUUUAGGUAUUGAAUAUUUCAAAGCAAAAAACCUUACGGGUAGCCCACAGUUUUCAAUUUUCAGUCAACUUUGGUCUAAGUAAUAA
Molecule: long non-coding RNA, 574 nt
Filed under: Homo sapiens (human)
Lineage: Eukaryota; Metazoa; Chordata; Mammalia; Primates; Hominidae
Description: non-protein coding lnc-LSMEM1-5:1
Source: RNAcentral